Molecule: long non-coding RNA, 92 nt
Organism: Telopea speciosissima
Lineage: Eukaryota; Viridiplantae; Streptophyta; Magnoliopsida; Proteales; Proteaceae
Exons: 3
Source: RefSeq, a predicted model, not a curated record
UGCACUGAAGGCAGGUGCCAUUCCUUCCAUUGUUUUCUCAUCAAGAUCUGAAUUAGGAAUCUUUCUUUGACUUUAAUUUUUGUGCACAACGC